GACGUAGGGCGCGAGCGUUGUCCGGAUUUAUUGGGCGUAAAGAGCUCGUAGGCGGCUCAUUGCGUCAACCGUGAAAACCAGCAGCUCAACUGUUGGCUUGCGGUUGAUACGGGUGGGCUGGAGUUCGGUAGGGGAGACUGGAAUUCCUGGUGUAGCGGUGAAAUGCGCAGAUAUCAGGAGGAACACCGGUGGCGAAGGCGCUCUGCUGGACCAUAACUGACACUCAGGGACGAAAGCUAGGGGAGCGAAUGGG
RNAcentral lists this ribosomal RNA (253 nucleotides) under uncultured bacterium. Its description in RNAcentral is "partial 16S ribosomal RNA". It matches the Rfam family "Bacterial small subunit ribosomal RNA", at positions 524 to 776 of the family's 1533-position model. The record is from RNAcentral.